Molecule: ribosomal RNA, 420 nt
Filed under: uncultured bacterium
Lineage: Bacteria
Description: bacterial SSU rRNA
Rfam family: Bacterial small subunit ribosomal RNA
Source: RNAcentral
GACGAACGCUGGCGGCGCGCCUAACACAUGCAAGUCGAACGAGCGAGAGAGAGCUUGCUUUCUCGAGCGAGUGGCGAACGGGUGAGUAACGCGUGAGGAACCUGCCUCAAAGAGGGGGACAACAGUUGGAAACGACUGCUAAUACCGCAUAAGCCCACGGUGCCGCAUGGUACAGAGGGAAAAGGAGCAAUCCGCUUUGAGAUGGCCUCGCGUCCGAUUAGCUAGUUGGUGAGGUAACGGCCCACCAAGGCGACGAUCGGUAGCCGGACUGAGAGGUUGAACGGCCACAUUGGGACUGAGACACGGCCCAGACUCCUACGGGAGGCAGCAGUGGGGAAUAUUGCACAAUGGGGGAAACCCUGAUGCAGCGACGCCGCGUGGAGGAAGAAGGUCUUCGGAUUGUAAACUCCUGUUGUUGGG